UACGUAGGGCGCAAGCGUUGUCCGGAAUUAUUGGGCGUAAAGAGCUCGUAGGCGGCCUGUUGCGUCCGCUGUGAAAUCCCGGGGCUCAACCCCGGGCCUGCAGUGGAUACGGGCUGGCUAGAGGCAGGCAGGGGAGAACGGAAUUCCUGGUGUAGCGGUGAAAUGCGCAGAUAUCAGGAGGAACACCUGUGGCGAAAGCGGCGCACUGGACCACAACUGACGCUGAGGCGCGAAAGCUAGGGGAGCAAACAGG
This 253-nucleotide ribosomal RNA is filed under the name uncultured bacterium. RNAcentral's name for it is "partial 16S ribosomal RNA". It matches the Rfam family "Bacterial small subunit ribosomal RNA", at positions 524 to 776 of the family's 1533-position model. The record is from RNAcentral.